This 209-nucleotide ribosomal RNA is filed under the name uncultured bacterium. RNAcentral's name for it is "partial 16S ribosomal RNA". It matches the Rfam family "Bacterial small subunit ribosomal RNA", at positions 568 to 774 of the family's 1533-position model. The record is from RNAcentral.
UGCGUAGGCGGCGCGGUAAGUCGGGUGUGAAAUCUCGGAGCUUAACUCCGAAACUGCAUUCGAUACUGCCGUGCUUGAGGACUGGAGAGGAGACUGGAAUUUACGGUGUAGCGGUGAAAUGCGUAGAUAUCGUAAGGAAGACCAGUGGCGAAGGCGGGUCUCUGGACAGUUCCUGACGCUGAGGCACGAAGGGUCAGGGGAGGCGAACG